This 497-nucleotide ribosomal RNA is filed under the name uncultured bacterium. RNAcentral describes it as "partial 16S ribosomal RNA". It matches the Rfam family "Bacterial small subunit ribosomal RNA", at positions 28 to 507 of the family's 1533-position model. The record is from RNAcentral.
GAUGAACGCUGGCGGCGUGCCUAAUACAUGCAAGUCGAGCGAACGGAUGAGAAGCUUGCUUCUCUGAUGUUAGCGGCGGACGGGUGAGUAACACGUGGAUAACCUACCUAUAAGACUUGGAUAACUUCGGGAAACCGGAGCUAAUACCGGAUAAUAUUUUGAACCGCAUGGUUCAAAAGUGAAAGACGGUCUUGCUGUCACUUAUAGAUGGAUCCGCGCUGCAUUAGCUAGUUGGUAAGGUAACGGCUUACCAAGGCAACGAUGCAUAGCCGACCUGAGAGGGUGAUCGGCCACACUGGAACUGAGACACGGUCCAGACUCCUACGGGAGGCAGCAGUAGGGAAUCUUCCGCAAUGGGCGAAAGCCUGACGGAGCAACGCCGCGUGAGUGAUGAAGGUCUUCGGAUCGUAAAACUCUGUUAUUAGGGAAGAACAUAUGUGUAAGUAACUGUGCACAUCUUGACGGUACCUAAUCAGAAAGCCACGGCUAACUACGUG